RNAcentral lists this ribosomal RNA (468 nucleotides) under uncultured bacterium. RNAcentral describes it as "partial 16S ribosomal RNA". It matches the Rfam family "Bacterial small subunit ribosomal RNA", at positions 28 to 507 of the family's 1533-position model. The record is from RNAcentral.
GAUGAACGCUGGCGGCGUGCUUAACACAUGCAAGUCGAACGGUGAAGGCGGAGCUUGCUCUGCUGGAUCAGUGGCGAACGGGUGAGUAACACGUGAGCAAUCUGCCCCUGACUCUGGGAUAAGCGCUGGAAACGGCGUCUAAUACUGGAUACGAGCUGCGAAGGCAUCUUCAGCAGCUGGAAAGAAUUUCUGCCAGGGAUGAGCUCGCGGCCUAUCAGCUUGUUGGUGAGGUAAUGGCUCACCAAGGCGUCGACGGGUAGCCGGCCUGAGAGGGUGACCGGCCACACUGGGACUGAGACACGGCCCAGACUCCUACGGGAGGCAGCAGUGGGGAAUAUUGCACAAUGGGCGAAAGCCUGAUGCAGCAACGCCGCGUGAGGGACGACGGCCUUCGGGUUGUAAACCUCUUUUAGCAGGGAAGAAGCGAAAGUGACGGUACCUGCAGAAAAAGCGCCGGCUAACUACGUG